AGAGUUUGAUCAUGGCUCAGAAUCAACGCUGGCGGCGCGCCUAACACAUGCAAGUCGAACGAGAAAGUGGAGCAAUCCAUGAGUAAAGUGGCGUACGGGUGAGUAACACGUGGAUCAUCUACCCUCUAGUGGGGAAUACCGCUGGGAAACCGGCGACAAUACCGCAUAAGCUCGAGAGAGGAAAGCAGCAAUGCGCUGGAGGAGGAGUCCGCCGAUUAGUUAGUUUGGCGGGGUAAAGGCCCACCAAGACUGUGAUCGAUAGCCGGCCUGAGAGGGCACACGGCCACACUGGCACUGAAACACGGGCCAGACUCCUACGGGAGGCAGCAGUGGGGAAUCUUGCACAAUGGGGGAAACCCUGAUGCAGCGACGCCGCGUGAGCGAUGAAGCCCCUCGGGGUGUAAAGCUCUUUCGGCAGGGAAGAUUAUGACGGUACCUGCAAAAGCAGCUGCGGCUAACUACGUGCCAGCAGCCGCGGUAAUACGUAGGCAGCAAGCGUUGUUCGGAGUUACUGGGCGUAAAGGGUGCGUAGGCGGCUUUUUAAGUUUGGUGUGAAAUCUCCCGGCUCAACUGGGAGGGUGCGCCGAAUACUGAGAGGCUAGAGUGUGGGAGAGGAAAGUGGAAUUCCUGGUGUAGCGGUGAAAUGCGUAGAUAUCAGGAGGAACACCGGUGGUGUAAACGGCUUUCUGGACCAUAACUGACGCUGAGGCACGAAAGCGUGGGUAGCAAACAGGAUUAGAUACCCUAGUAGUCC
Molecule: ribosomal RNA, 754 nt
Filed under: uncultured bacterium
Lineage: Bacteria
Description: bacterial SSU rRNA
Rfam family: Bacterial small subunit ribosomal RNA
Source: RNAcentral